This 361-nucleotide ribosomal RNA is filed under the name Lacunicambarus miltus. RNAcentral's name for it is "partial large subunit ribosomal RNA". The stretch from base 40 to 361 matches the Rfam family "Bacterial large subunit ribosomal RNA", at positions 2048 to 2586 of the family's 2925-position model. The record is from RNAcentral. Lineage: Eukaryota; Metazoa; Arthropoda; Malacostraca; Decapoda; Cambaridae.
AGAAAUAGUCUGUCUUAAUUAAAGAUAUUGAAUUUAACUUUUGAGUGAAAAGGCUUAAAUGAUCUGAAGGGAAGAUAAGACCCUAUAAAACUUUAUAUUUAAGAGUGGGAGUUAGUUUUAUUUAAAGGUUGCUAUUUUAUAAUAUUUGGUUGGGGCGACAGGGAUAAAAAAAGUAACUGUCCUUUUUUUUUUACAAUAAUAUUUGGUUUAAUGAUCCUAAAAUCGAUGGAAGAUUAAGUUACUUUAGGGAUAACAGCGUUAUUUUCUUUAAGAGUCCUUAUCGACAGGAAAGUUUGCGACCUCGAUGUUGAAUUAUAAGUUCUUUAUGGGGUAGAGGCUAUAAUAGAAGGUCUGUUCGACC